UACCAUGAUGAGGUAAUUUGCGAUUGAUUCUACUUCGAUGGCGCCCUCGCCGGGGCUGCUAUAUCGGGUGGAAAGCUGAUAGUUAAUUUCUUACAUAUUCUGACU
RNAcentral lists this small nucleolar RNA (105 nucleotides) under Microdochium bolleyi. Its description in RNAcentral is "A. fumigatus snoRNA Afu_514". It matches the Rfam family "A. fumigatus snoRNA Afu_514". The record is from Rfam by way of RNAcentral. Lineage: Eukaryota; Fungi; Ascomycota; Sordariomycetes; Xylariales; Microdochiaceae.